GUACUUCUGACGAGUCCCAAAUAGGAUGAAACAGCUGUCCAAUAC
RNAcentral lists this non-coding RNA (45 nucleotides) under Echinostoma caproni. Lineage: Eukaryota; Metazoa; Platyhelminthes; Trematoda; Plagiorchiida; Echinostomatidae. The record is from RNAcentral.